ACCCGCUGAAUUUAAGCAUAUCAAUAAGCGGAGGAAAAGAAACUAACCAGGAUUCCCUUGGUAACGGCGAGUGAAGAGGGAAGAGCCCAGCACCGAAGCCUGCGGCAGUUUUGCUGUUAGGCAAUGUGGUGUGUGGGUCGGCUCGCGGGACCAUCACUCCACUCGAAGUCCAGCAUUGAGUAUGGCAAUCACUGGAUUUGGCCCAUAGAGGGUGAGAGGCCCGUACGGGUGGAGGUUCAGACAUGUACGAUGGUUCACCAGGCCGGCCUCAGAGUCGGGUUGUUUGAGAUUGCAGCCCAAAGAGGGUGGUAAACUCCAUCCAAGGCUAAAUAUUGCCACGAGUCCGAUAGCGAACAAGUACCAUGAGGGAAAGUUGAAAAGUACUCUGAAGAGAGAGUAAACAGUACGUGAAGCCGCAUGCAGGUAAACGGGUGGCGUCAAGCUGCGAGCCCGGAGGAUUCAGCUGACUGGGAUGUAGUGUACGCGCGCCUGGGGCGUCGAGAGGCCGGAGUAAGAUGUGGCGGUCCACUCUUCUGUUAAGAGUGGGGUGUGAUCAGUGUGCGCUUGCGUAUGCUGGUUAUUGCUAUGUAUGCCGGGUGGGUGCCGGAACAUGCCGUUCGUCUGUUGGGCCACCUAGUCAGUGCAUUUUCUCCGUGGUGAACACCACGACCGGUGGAACUGUCAGUCUGCUGUGAUCAAGUCGUGUUCUCCUGGCGCGUUACUGUGUUGGGUGGGCACGAUCGCAGGCGGAGUCGGUGGACGGCGCAGUGGUGCUUCGGUACUGCCGCGUGUUAUCGUGCACUCUCUGUCGUAAGCGGUUAGUGGAGUUGACUAAGUGCUGUGACUACUUCUCUACUAGCCGGCGGAUCACAGUGGUGAAAGGGACUGUGCAGGGCACUGGAGUUGUCCAUCUCAUUCAAUAUGGUACUCGACACGCACGUUACAGGUGUUAUGAUAAUCGAGACGCGCCGCUGUGUGCCUGGUGUUAGGCCUGACUGUCGUGUUGCCUGCGCAAAGUAGGUCCGGCAGUGGUAUUGAUGCUUGGUAGUGGCAGUGUGUUGCGUGUCUUGGGUGUCUGUGGUACCGGGGAUGAAAUAGUCAGUGGUGCUGUGGUAGACGAGCUACCCGACCCGUCUUGAAACACGGACCAAGGAGUUUAACAUGUGUGCGAGUCAAAGGGUCCUACGAAACCCCUAGGCGUAGUGAAAGUAAAGUUCAUACUGCACUUCUGCACAUGCGCAGUGUAGUGUGGCGAGGUGAGAUCUCGUUGUACUCAUGACACACGCCGUGUAAACCUUUACUAGGCAUUAUUGGGGCAACGAGCGCAUCACCGGCCCGUCCCAUGAUGUGGUCAUGGGUGGACUUGUGCGUGGAGUGGUAAUACACAAAGCGUACAAAGCCUGUGCGUCAUCGGGGCGGAGCAUGAGCACACACGUUGAGACCCGAAAGAUGGUGAACUAUGCUUGCGUAGGUUGAAGCCAGAGGAAACUCUGGUGGAGGACCGUAGCGAUUCUGACGUGCAAAUCGAUCGUCAAACGUGAGUAUAGGGGCGAAAGACUAAUCGAACCAUCUAGUAGCUGGUUCCCUCCGAAGUUUCCCUCAGGAUAG
Molecule: ribosomal RNA, 1608 nt
Filed under: Hymenolepis diminuta
Lineage: Eukaryota; Metazoa; Platyhelminthes; Cestoda; Cyclophyllidea; Hymenolepididae
Description: partial 28S large subunit ribosoma RNA
Rfam family: Eukaryotic large subunit ribosomal RNA
Source: RNAcentral